AGGGUGUAAACGCUGCAGACUUGGUGUUGGAGGCCCUUUGGGGGGCAUUCAGUGCUGGAGAGAAGUUGUUAAGUCUGCUACUUGGGGAGUACGUCCGCAAGGAUGAAACUUAAAGGAAUUGGCGGAGGAGCACCGCAACGGGAGGAGCGUGCGGUUUAAUUGGAUUCAACACCGUAAAACUCACCAGGGAAGACUGUUACAUGAAGGCCGAGCUAAAGACUCUGCUAGAUUUUCAGAGAGGUGGUGCAUGGCGUCAGUGACU
RNAcentral lists this ribosomal RNA (262 nucleotides) under uncultured archaeon. RNAcentral's name for it is "partial 16S ribosomal RNA". It matches the Rfam family "Archaeal small subunit ribosomal RNA", at positions 748 to 1008 of the family's 1478-position model. The record is from RNAcentral.